Molecule: long non-coding RNA, 690 nt
Organism: Chinchilla lanigera (long-tailed chinchilla)
Lineage: Eukaryota; Metazoa; Chordata; Mammalia; Rodentia; Chinchillidae
Exons: 3
Source: RefSeq, a predicted model, not a curated record
UCUUAAGGCUGAUGGCACUGCUGACAAAUGGGAACAGCUGCGAGAUAAGCUCUAUGCUUGGGACGUGGCAUUCAGAAAGGGCUUAUUUCGUGAUGCACAGAUAAGAAUGCAGUCUGGGGCUCUGGGAAAUGCUCUACGGGACAAGACCUCUGAGGCAGGGCUUCUGCUUUCUCUUACUCUCUCCUGCUUCAGAGCCUCAUCUUCCGCAGCAGCUAAUUGAACCUUCAGUGACUUCUUCCUGAAGAAGCCGGACUGCUUUCCUGAAACAUGGCUGCAGUCGGAACCCCAAGAGGAUCAGCGAGACAGCACAUGCCUGACCCCAUUUCCAAGUGUGGUUUAAGCAUUCUUCACAGUUCAUUGGCUCCCGGGACAUUGCCGCUCAACUCUCUACGCAGACAUGGAUGAUUCUUGAAGACGCUGCACUAAGUGAAAUAAGCCAGUCACAAAAGGGCAAAUACUAGGCUGGGGAUGUAGCUCAGCAGCACAAGAGCCUGCUUGGCAAGCACAAGGUCCUGAGUUUGAUUCCCCAUAUCAAAAAAUAGGACAAAUACUGUACCACUCCAAAUAGAUGAGGUACCCCGGAAUGGUCCAACUCAGGUUGCCAGAGGCAAGGGAAGGGGGAGAAUGGGAGGUGUUGCCUAAUGGGUAGAGAGUUUCAGUUUUACAAAAUAAAAAAGCUUUGGAGAUGGA